AGAUCCUGGUGAAGUCCAUGCUGCGGAAGCGCUCCUUCAGUAACCCGUUCGAGUGUCACAGCCGCAGGCAGGGCAGGUCCAUGUCUGCCCCUGGAGGUCUGACUGUGGAUAUGUCGCUGUUUCGCCCUCUAAGCAGAGGGAGUAACAGUAACGGAAGCAGAGAGGGGGAGCUGGAAAACCUUAUAGAGGAUGAAACUUUUCCUUAAAUUUGAAAGUAUCAUUUUUCACAUUGGCCCAGUUGUGGGAUUAGACAUUUUUUUCCCCCAUCUGCACUAGAGUAUUUUGAGCAUUACCAUGAUGUGUUACCUUUUAAAUUCUGUAUACUGUACACACUGCAUGAUGAAAGGUUAGAUUUGGAGGUACCUUUAACAUAUAAUGCAGAAUCUGGUAAUACUUAGAGUAAUAUUUGUGUUCCAUUGCAUUUACGUGCCAAAUUUCAAGUAAAAUUGAAAGAAAUUUAGAUUUAAAUGCAUGUAUAAAAAGA
This is a long non-coding RNA of Sinocyclocheilus grahami, 484 nucleotides long. RefSeq lists it as uncharacterized. The transcript is spliced from 3 exons. Lineage: Eukaryota; Metazoa; Chordata; Actinopteri; Cypriniformes; Cyprinidae. The record is from RefSeq and is a predicted model, not a curated record.